This 13030-nucleotide long non-coding RNA is filed under the name Gallus gallus (chicken). RNAcentral describes it as "lncRNA (ENSGALG00010019764.1)". Lineage: Eukaryota; Metazoa; Chordata; Aves; Galliformes; Phasianidae. The record is from RNAcentral.
AUCCAAAUUCCAGGAGGGUAAACUUUCAACACCACGUCAUACUUCAGCAAAUUUACACAGAUAUUAUAUUGCGUCCCUUUCCUUCCCCCCCCCCCUCCCCUCCUCUUCCCCCCCCCACCCCCCCGCUUCUCCUUUUGAGCCAUUGUGCUUAACUGAAUUUUAUAAAGCUGAUCGAUAUCUUGGUAAAAUAUUCAUUUUUAAACUAGCGGCCAGCGAAAUCUUUGCUUUGUGCUAAAGUCAACAGCCGCCCGCUUGCGGCUCCCAUAAAUGCGGGGAUGCUCCCGGCUCCCGCAGAGCGGGCGCGGCGGCGCGGGGCGCAGAAAUAGUCCUAAUCCUAUAUUUCGGCCGGGGAAAGUCCGCUUCUGCUCCACACUAGAUUAAUCCAGAAACCACAUAAAACCAGCACGGGGGAUCAGUGUCAAGGACGGAUGGGGCCAACCUCUGAGCUGUGCUGAGCGUGCUGCUGCCGUGUGUGCAUCCCCUAUGAAACCCCAGAUCCCCAUCUCUGAUUGCCUCUUUGUGUCUGUACUUGUGUGCAAUACCUGCGUUACGCUUCAGUAGACUCGGGAGCGGACAGAAGUGCUAUCUCUGCCUCGAGGAUAUUUGAGAAGAUGCUUCUCCGGGAUGGAUCCUUUUAGGAAAAAAUAAAUCGUUAAAACACUCCGGGAAAGCUGAAGAAUGAAUGAAUUUGUGGAGCUUUCUGAGGGAUGCACAUCCGUGCCAUCCUAAGGGUGAACACUCAUCCCACCCUGCAGGACCCCAGCAAUUGCCAUCCAGCACUGAGCCAUGCUACGGCGCUCUGGUCCUCCAGCACAUCCCUCCCUUUGCUGUUGCUCUGCACUACUGCAAAAUUACAGACUGGAGAUGGGGGGCUGAAAGCAGCAGCUCUGCUUCAGGGUGGCAGUGGGACGGGGCAGAAGGUGAGGCUGAUACUGCAAGAGGUUGCCAGGACUUUCUGUUCCCUCCGGGUCCAAUCUGAGGCGUCAUUAGCAAACUAAUAAACUGGCUGCAGAUGUUGAGCCAACAGCAGGCACGUUCCUCAGGAGCAUCCCUGCUAACUCUUGGCUUUGGGAAGCAAUCAGCUCAUCCCUGUGUUUCUCUUUGUGCCCACUCUCUGCCCCACUUCUUCCCUCCUGCCUGGAAUUUUAGGAGAAAAGAAGAAAAAAUAGAAACAGGAAACAAAGCGGGAGCUUCCUCAAAUCAAUUUUUUCAAGUUGAUUUAUUUUCUUUAUAUUGCAGUGGAUGGAGCUCUGUGGCCUUACUGUUUCUCUCGGAAAAUAGAAGUAUUUGUGCCAGUCACAGCAGUGCCAGCACAGAGGUGGCUCUGGCAAUUGGCAAACACCAAUGCCAUACCCAUACCCCGCUGACCCCACCAGAUCCCUCGUGGCCGAAUGGUGUGGGUACGGCAGUAGCGAUGCUGGAGGAGGCAGGCGCUGCCCUGCAUGGGGCCGGAUCUGGGUCCUUGGGGGCAGGAAUACACCAGGGCUGGAGUUUCAUGGGGAAUAGGAAUCCGCCGUGCCCAGGUGGGGCUGCGGCUUCUAAAGUGCCUCUUAAGCUUUCCUGUAUCCUGCUAGCGAGGGAAAAAACUCACAAGGGGAUCCUGCCUGUUCACCUAGCCCUGAAGGGAGAAAAGAGAGGGAUCCCCGAGGCUGGGAGGGCUGCUCUACCCCAAAGCCCAUCUCCAGGCAGGGGGCCGAGGGAGAGGCAUCCUGCUCGCUUCUUUCUGCCUCUAGCUCUGCUUUUUGUGCUGCCCCAGGUAGCGGCCCCAGCGCAUCCCCUGCCGCGGCAGCGCUGUGCUGCACGGAGCAGCACAUUUCCCCCGAGUUACUUAUUAACCACCGUUCGUUUGACAGGAUCGAUAUUUCAAGCUAGGGAGUAAACACUUAAGAAGUAAUGCUCCUCUCUGCUCUCUUUUUCCUCGGCAAAAUGAUUUAUUUUAUAAAAUGCAUCUGCCUGGCAGGGAGGCUGGAGCCCCGUGGCUUUUAUCCGCGGGAUAUGCAAAGCGCAUUUAUUUCGUCUUUUAUCUCUCAUAUUGCGCGUUGAUCCCAUACAUAUAGAUUGAUUUUGUUCAGGUAGAUAAUGAAAAGUCAAGUGGAAAAUUUACACAAAGGCACUCAGGAUCUCCACUUUCUAUUGGUAUAUAAAUUGGUUUAUUACUUCAUUCCCUUAAACAGCGACUUUCACGCUGGGGAACACUUUAAAAUAUAUCAUGUUUAAACACAGAACCAUUUACCUUCCGUGUGGUUUCUCUCUUUCCAUCGGUAAUUUCCUCGCCACUUUUGCUAAUUACCGAAGAUAUUUGUGUUUAAACAAGGGCCCCACCAGCAGCAAUCCGUCUCCCUCCUCCUCCUGCUCCCAGCAUCAAACCACCCCAACCAGAGCUCCCGGCGCUGGGCACGGGGAUGGUGACAAAGCCUGGCAGCGGGCUCUAAUUCCCCGUAAGCAGCUUUGGCUUCGCCACCCCAAGGCAGUGAAUGGAGGGCACUGGACGGGAGAGCGCAGCUCGGAACAAAACCGGCAGGAAACGUUAUUAAUAAACAUCUUCUGGACAUUUGGUGGCUCAUCUAGGCUGCUCCAGCUUAAAGCAAUUAAUUCAGGAUACUGACAUAAACUCUCCAGCUCUUUGACAGCUUGGAGCUGAAAUAAAAAUGCUAGUUCUCCAGGGAAAAGGAGAGGAUAGUUGGCUCUUUUCUGGACUGUUUGCUUAUAGGCCCAGAGAGCAAUCUUCCUUGCAGAAUGAAAUGCAAGGACACAAACAAUGUACCGGAGAGAGAAUAGAAGAUGGGAAUGAACAGUUUGAACUAUUUGCUCAGCAGAAGGGCAGCCACAAUGCUCAACCAAUGGCUUUCCCAUGCAUCAACCGGGCUUCUUAGGCCCUUUUGUUGUUCAUCCUCUUCCUCUGACCAGAUAAGAGCACAGCUGCACGGCCGUCGACUUAGCCACGCAAAUCUGGUGCCGCGCGGAGCCGCGUCCCUGCGGAGCUCGAGGACAAGGUGACACCGGGCAGCGGCACAUCCAGCAACCCCCGCAUUCAGUGCCACCUCCCCACAGCCAGGCUGCUGACCCCUGCCCUCCCCUUGCCCCCUUCCUGCCUCCGUUGCCCAUUGCCCAGGUGGUGCUAUGCUGCUCCGACCCAAACGCCAGCUCCAACCGUGAUGCUACACCGCUUCGUGCCGCCCCAGGCUGGGAUUCGGUGAGCAAGGCUGGAACAAGGUUUGUUUAGCUUGAAAGGGUUUGACGAGGUGAAAAGGCAAAGCGCCGAGGACUAAAGAAAACGCCUGCCUGGCUGAGAUCACACGGAGCACUCGUCGUCAAAGAGCACACCUGCAGGAAGCACCGAGUUUAAACACUGCUGUCACAAAAACCUGAGAAACCUCCGGGUAUUUCAUUGUGGGCUUUUUUUUUUGUCUCUUUUCCCCCUUCUCCCCUACUGGGUGGUCAGGAGAGCAGGAGGGCUCCCAUUGUCUGCAGAGCUGACCCCACGUGUCCCUGCCAUGCCAGCACCUGGCCGACACCGCAACGCCCCAAUCCAGCCCCAAUCUCCAGCCCAGCGCCCGGCAUUGGGCUGCUUAAUGAGACCCUAACGAGGUGCUCAGCCUUCAUUUCCAAAACGCUGCGACGCAGACAAAGGGAAAGUGCAGUCAGCUCCGAGUAAUUUGUGCCGCGCUCCCGGCGAAUGAAUUUAGGGGAGCAAAUAUCGUUAUGCGGGAUUUAAAUUAAAGUUGACACUAAUGUAAAUACGGCAAUGCAACCGGCUGUUUAAGAAGUGUGAUGAGGGUACAGUUUUAAUCAGGUCCUUUUAACUCAGGUGGCAUUUUAAAUCCUCGCCGGUUCAUUUGGAUAACAGUCCCAGAGGAUGUCCUGGAGUGGGAUGGUGAGGGAUGGUUGUCCCGGGAGCUCACCUGGUGAGCAGUGAAUGCAGUGUUGGACGCUGCAGAUGGAUGGACCCCCCCUGCCAAGGGCUGGGUAACAAAGGCAGAGGCGGCAGCUAAAAGGGUUGGUAAUAAAUUCUUGCGGGGUCGGUCAGCGCCUGCCAGAUUUCCCCUGGCGCUCUUGAACAAUCUGCUUCCAGCCUAAAUCAUAGAGCUGAGGCUUGGGGGAAAAAGGGAAAAAAGAAAAAAAAAAAAAAAGAGGAAAGAGCGGAGACCGCCUCACCUACUUCAAAGCCUGAACAGCGCAGAGGUGCUUCACAAUAACAAUAGCACUGGCUGCAGCCUGGAGGAGCUCCAUAACAGGAGCUCUGUAACCUGGCAAGACUCAGAGUUACGGUUACCAGAACAAUAUUUGGCAAGGGAAUUCUCCUGGUUCAUUUUUGUCAAAGGGAACAUAACGCCACUGGCAGGGAUAUGGUGCCAGCACGGCGCUGCGUUGGGUUCAGGCUGCAGUAGUGCCUGGCUUUUCUGGGCAGAGGGUUCAAUACCUAAUAGUAAUAAUAGUAAUAAUAAUCAUAUCACCAACAUCCACUCUGGGGAAGAAAGAAACCUUCUCUUGAGGUUUUCAGACAGCUGGCUGCCUCCAUGCCAUGCGUGCAGGAUGCCCGUGCUGAGCUCAUGUGAAGUUGAGGGUUAAGGUGGGGGGUAGGGUCAGGGCCCCACGUUAACCCAGAGUUUCUCUGGCUCCCGGCCCCACUCGGAGCUGCAGAGCCCUGCCGGUCCCUGCAGGGUAUUGCAUCUUCUCGGAGCUGUCCUAAUCCCCCCGUGUGACUCAGCGCUGUUAAAAUACCAAUGAGAAUAAUAAAAUGGGUUAUAAUGCUAUUAGGUAUUCCCCUUAGCUAUCCUGGCUACCCAAGGAGGAUGGAGUGGGAUGGGGAAGGGAGAGAGGAUGCAAUGGGCAUGGGCAAGGGAGGAUCCUGCAGCUGUCCAUUGGGCUGGAGCUAGGAUUUGGGGGAAGGAAGUGGCUUCUUGCCCGGGUUUUGUUCUGUGGAGGAUCCCCAGGUGGGGUGAUCCUACCCGCAGCCCCCCCCCCCCCCACCAGCCCCUGCCCUUUGCACAGAUGCCUAUGUCCACAAACCCCCCCUAAGCACUUAAUGAGCUCCGAGACGCCUAUUGUCUUGGCAAAGCUGAUUGAAACGGGCGAGGAGUUCAAGGGUUAGGAAGGGAGGGCUGUGUGGAGGCAGACACCCGGUGACACCAGGCUGCCCAGCCAGCAAAUGGGCUCUGCAGCAGCAUGGCACACACUGUGUCCAACACCCAUCACAUGCCAACAUACUGCUGGGUGCUGAGCCCAGACUGUGCGGCAGCUUAUCUGCCUUUAGCACAAAGCUGGGACGAAGUCUGCAUUGCCCAACGCAGAGCUGGAGUGGGCCUUGGACCCAGCCCUGUGUCAGCAGACCUCCCGGCCCUGCUCUGCUCGCUGACAGCCAGUGUUUUUUUACUCCUUGAGACUGUCAGGAAUGUUUUUCAUGCAGGAGUGUAGUGCAUUCAGCAUACUGAAACCGCCUUAAUCUCAGCAAGACCAACAAAGAUAAGGAAUAGCGUUUAAGUUGGCCGAAAUUAGCAAAUGCAUCUGCUGCACAAUGCCCCUGUUACCAUUAGCUGUGACCGGUGAAUGGCACUAGCAAAGUAUGCUGGCAAUGUUUAACAAACCAUCCGUCUUUUACCUGUUCCUACUCAACAGAAACCUUUGUUUGAACCACGGGCCUAUUCAGUCCUGCUGCUGUCUGCUUAUCAGCAAGAUUAAUCUCCGAGGUAUCACUAUAUUAAUUUUAAAACCUGCUUUUAUUACCACGAGUCCUCUGCUGGGGUGGAGAGGAGGUAUUUCUGCCCCUGCUGGGCAAGCUGGGCUCCGUGUUUGCCAAGCUCCACUGCCACCAUGACUCAUCCUUGCUACAUGCACCCAUGUCACAGUGCAAACACAUCCUGGCAGAUCUCUUGCCACAGGCCUCACGCUCUUUUUGGGAGGACAUACUUUCCAUAUCCAGCAUGCCUCGCAUCACCAAGGACAGUGGCUUGGUGUAGCAUCCCUGUGCCCUUCUGCUGCAGCAUCCCUGCUGCAGUGCGUCUCUACACAUCCCUAUUACAGCAUCCCCGAGAAUCCCUGUGCAUCCCUGCACAUCCCUACUACAGUGUCCCUGUGAAUCCCUGUGCAUCUCUGUGCAUCCGUGCUGCAGCAUCCCAGUGCAACCCUGUUGCAGCAUCCCCACAAAUUCGUGCACUCCCCUGCAGCAGUGCAUCCCUUUGCAUCCCUGCACAUCCCUACUGCAGCAUCCCUGUGAAUCCCUGUGCAUCCCUGCACACCUCUACCACAGAAUCCGUGUGCAACUCUGCACAUCUCUGUGCGUCCCUGCUGCAGCACCUCUGCAAAUCCCUGCUGCAACAUCCUUUUGCAUCCCAGAUGAAGCAUCCCUCCUGCAGCAUCCCUGCACAUCUAUGUGCAGCGUCUGCAUGUGCCCUGGCAGCAUCCCUGCUGCAGCAUCCCCACGGUGUCCAAGCAAAGCAGGUUGAGAAGCUGCCCCCAUGGCACAGAGGGGUGCAGGGGGGGAACCUGGUGUGGUUUGCCAUCAGGAUGGCAGCUGGGGCCAGCGCAGGCCCUGAAUUCCUGGCUGAGUGCUGUGCACACAGCGCUUAUCUUGCUCGGCUGUGUUUGUGCAGCAGGAGCCAGCCUGCACUGUGGGGUGAGGGACACGGCCGAGCACCCACAGAAGAACAUAGGGCAGUCCUGGGAAUCAAGUCUCUCCCAUCUUUAUGCACCGUGAGCAUUCUAGGGGUAAGGAGGGACAUGGGGGUCGGCACAGGGUGGUGUGGGACGCGGGACUGCUUCUCCUCACACCUUGUCCUCGCCAAUUUCCCUGCUCCAUGCCCUGGAAAAGCCACUGCAAAGCACAGUGCAUGCAUCCAGGCACCGUGAGGCUGCAGCAGGGCAGUGCAGGCAGGCAGCCUGCUGAUUCCCCGAGCCAAAGCUCUGACAAGGCUUUUCCAUGCCACACAUUCCGGGCGGUGUCUGCAUGGCGUGUCCUGGCUCUGCUUGGCAGCCAGCUGCCUCUGUGCAGACCACGGGCACUGGGACGUGCAGGACUUGAGCUCGCAGAGGGCACCCAGAAAGAAGAGGAUUUCCACCCCAGCAAGGGAGAAGCGGCCCCUUCCCCUUCCUCUGCCUAAGCUAACUCUUCUGCUAUGUCCAAUAACAGGCAGUCGGAAACCCUGCCUACACUGGCAGCAGACAGAGGCUUCCCUGUUUGGAUUCGAGAUGGGGAUUUCUGUGGCUGAAAGUACCUUUGUUAUUUUUCCAGGAAGGCUUCCUUUUUGGCUGGCUUCAACUCUGCAUAGGAUGCUCGCAGCAAAUUGACUGCCGUGAUGAAGAAGGAAAAAUAUUUAAACAAGCAAUUAUGAAUGAGCUUUGCUUGCUAACUCAGAAAGCAGUUUCCUAAGUUUAUAUAGAAAUGUAAGAGAUCUACCUUCCAGGUCCAAUCACAGCCUCAGGAGUUCUCCUCUUAGAUUAGAGCUUUGUGGCCAGCAUGAGCUAAAAGAGACUAAAGGGACUAAUCCUGGCCUAUCUCUGUGUGCAAACCGGGGUCGAACCUUCUCCCGCUUCCCCUUCUGCCUCUCUGUCCAGUGUGAGUUUUACGGAGCAGGAUUUUCCUCACCUGGCACUGUGGGGGCCCGAGCCAGUGGUGGGGUGACCUUGGCCAUUUCUCCAGAUGUGGCUCUGUCGCAUGAUACUACGGUUCCGGGCUCCCUAUACGUCCUUGAGAGCGUUAUCUGGGUGAGUCACCACUAGCCGGCCUCUGAAAUCUGUGACAUUUUUGGCAGUUCCCUCUUUAAUCUAAGAGGAGUAUGGAGCCAAGUGGCUCAGUCACCAUAUCUCAGCAAAAGGAGACUGAAAAGCUUAGGGCUGAAUUCAGGUUGGCUGAUAGGAACAGUUUAUUUCCUGAAAGAGCGGUGAGGCAGUGGCACAGCUGCCCAGGGAGUGGUGGGGUCACCGUCCCUGGAGGCAUCCCAAAGCUGUGGGGAUGUGGCACUGCAGGACGUGGUCAGUGGGCACGGUGGGGGUGAGCUGUGGUUGGACUCGGUUAUCUUUUCCACCUUCAUGAUUCUAUGACUCUAUGAUGGUUCUAUGAAUAGCUCAUUAAUUUCACGCUGCACACACUUCCAACCCAGAGGGAUGCUGAAGGAAGCCCAGGUUUGUGCAACCUUCUGCGAUGCCUGGCUGCACCUCCCUGCUGUGCUGGCAGCAUCGGCAGCUCCAGCCAUGUUUUCCUCCCCACACUACAUGAACACAGACAGGAGGUCCCCUCGGUGAGCUCACUGAUGCAAUUCUGUCAGCAUCCAACCCCGGCGAGGAGGAGUGAAAUGUGCUGUCAGUCUCUGCCCGAGUCAAGGGAAAGGUUCAAGCACCUUGAAGUUUGACUGUGAUUCUCGUUGAAGCCAGCACAAAUCAUCUUUGCACAGCAGCUUUAUGGAGGCCUGCUGACCUGCCUGGCCUUUACGCUGAGGGAUAGGUUUUUCUACUCAGUGCUGGCACAAACAACUGCAUUUAUUGGCCAAGCCAGACAACAGAAUAGCAGUGCCUUGCUGCUCUUAGGGAGGACGAGCAUUCUCAGUCUCCUUUGUAAUCAUGCCUUCAUACAACUGGUUCCCAAGCAGUGCAUCUAGAGUCAUAGAACCAUGGACACAUAGAAUCAUAGAAUCGUGGCAUCAUAGGAUCAUAGUAACAUAGACCCCUGGAAUCAUGGAAUCAUAGAUCCACAGAAUCAUAGACCCACAGAAUCAUAGACCCCUAGAAUCAUGGAUUCAUAGACCCCUAGAAUCAUAGAAUCAUAGAACCGUAGAAUCAUAGAAUCAUGGAAUCGUAGAACCAUAGGCUCACAGACCCAUAGAAUCAUGGAAUCAGAACCAUAGAACCAAAGAAUCAUAGAAUUGUUGGAGUUGGAAGAAACCUUCAAAGGUCACCUAGUCUAAUUCCCCUGCAAUGAACAGGGAAACCUGGGUGCAUCAGGGCAAACAAACUGGGAGAAGAAGCACGAUGCAGAAAACACGCUGCUGGCAGCCAGGACUGGGGGCGAGUAGUGCAGCCUGCAUUCCUCCCCGCACAUACAUUAUUCACUGGGGAUUAUUUGCUCAACCCCGAAGUGCGCGCACGCAUUGACAGCUGCUCGUGGAUACAAAGCAUUGCAUUGAGAUGCCCAAUAUGGAGCACAGGGCUUGGAUCUGGAGCUGGGAGCCCUGGGUUUUGUCUACAGGAGGGGAUAAAAGUGCCUGAACUGGGAUCUCCUGAGCAUGCGCUGCACCCAUGGGUGUUGCUCGGGUGUGCACACAGGGAUGCCUAUGUGCAUAUAUGCAGGGAUGCAUUCAGACAUGGAAGCAGGGACAUGCACACACAUAUAGACAGGGAUAUAUAUGCGUGUAGCUGUGGUUGAGGGCAAGUGGGACGAAAUCUUCAGGCGGGCCAUGAAACAGGGAGGCGUGAGCCAGGGCGCUCAUUAGUACCUGGGUAUGACUGCCGCUGACCUGAUGGCAAAUAUGAAAUAUCAAAGCGCUUGUCAGCACUCCUGAAUGGGACAAAGAAAAGGCGCAUUAAUGAUUAACUCCGUUAAAAGCUCAGGCUUUUUUAUUCCCAUGGCGCUCGGACUAUCUCGCUGCCAUGUGACAUGCUAGGGCCAUUUUCUAGCAGAUUGGGGAAAGCUAGUGAGCAAACACAGGUGCUUUAGAGUCAGCAGCGCUGUCAGGGACAACCACAAACAACACCAGCUAUGCCUGCCUAAAUUAGCUCCUGUGUUUGCCUCCAUUUUUGCUUCCUGGAGAUUUUACUUUCUAAGUCCAAUGUCUUUCGCUCCCGUCUUCAACUAUUCACACGCAGUGUUAAAGGGGAGAAAGAAAAGAGAAGAAAAGCGAAAACACACAGAGAGGCUCCUCUUUGAACCAGCCACAGUGCGUGGGGACCGCAUGCAGAAAGGCCCGAGUCAACUAAUUAAAAGGACUCAGCUCUUUAACUGCAAAAACAAAACACGUUUGUUGUGCUCAAGUGGAAUUAUUCGGGUGAUCCUCGGCAAACAACGAGCCCUGCAUGCAUGCGGUGCUGCUGCUUGCAAGCUCCAUGCCGACACCGCGGGUCCCAUCGGUGCCACUCGUGGAGGCUGUGUGUGACCUCUCCUCCACCGUGGUUCAGUGUGAAGGUCCCUCUAGCGGUAUUAUUUGUUUUCAUUUUUCCCUCCUUCCAUAGCCUGAAUGAGACAGACUUUCUUUUCCUGUUCAAAUAUUUAUAUAUGUGUGUUAUUGGGUUGUGCUCAAACUCCUUGCAAUCACACCGGGGCAAUAAAGAACAGACUAUCAGCGUGCGGUGAUAAAGGUAGUUGUGAGUAAACAGCAGAAAAUGAAAUAAAGUUAUAAAGAAGAAGGCCUGGGAUGGUAUAAAUGUCUACAAAUAAUCACAAUAUCAACCUGCUCAGUAUUCAAGCAAUUAAGGACAACAGGAGCAAAGCUGUGCUGGAGCUGUUCUGAAUUUACGUAGUCCCUGGUCCUCACAAAGUGAGCUCUGCAAGCAGUGGGAGAUUCUGGAGUUUGAAAUCAGCAUCUGGAUCUUGAACCAAGGACAUCCAUUGCAGAUGCAGUGUGCUUCACUUGGGGGGGGGGAUUAAAAUCUGUGUGUUUAGCGAGAUUACGCUUGAACUGGUCCCAAUUUAUUUUGCCAAAUUGAGCUGCAGCCAAUUUCUCUCCCAUGCGAUGAUGAAUAAAUAUCAUUAAAUAGGAGAAGAUGAAGGCGAUUGAUGCCCUUGUAUUAGCGGGAACUAACAUCGUGUGCUCGAGAAUGAAAGGACAAAAAUGGAGAGAUUUGGAUGCAAAUCAUUCAAAUGAGGAGGAUUAAGCAUGAGGGUACGAGGGAGAAUGGGGUCCAGAACACCAAAUGCUCAGAAGUGCAGGGAACUGCUCAGGAUUCAUUUCCCUUUGACCCAUUACUUUUGGUUUACAGGGAGCAAAAAUUCUUCCCUGUGCAGAAUGGUUUGAUUCGAGGCUGUUCUAGCAUAGGGCUGUCACUUGGAUCGUUUAUUAAACCGUCUUAAUGAUCACUUACUAAGAAAGCACACAGGUUGAUAUUUCCUACUAUGACACAGUCAUGGAAUCACGCAGGUUGGAAAAGACCACAAGGAUCCCCAAGUCCAACCAUCAACCCGUCCACACUGCACCCACUAUCCAACUAACCACGUCCCUCAGUGCCACGCUACGAUUCCCCCUUUUCCUGCAGUCACAAAGGAUCAUGCAUGGGGUUUUGCAGCAUGUGAAGGUUGGGGUCUGCACCCAGGGAAGUCAACCCUUGGUUCUUCAAGGCAGCAGUGUGGCUGCCCUGGCUGCCUUUUGUUUGCCAUCCCAUCCCAGCGCCAUUGGGUGUGCUUGCAGAUGGGCCCAGUUGGCUUUUUGCUGCCCUAUAAAACAGGAGGGAAAAAAAAAAUAAAAAAAAAAAGGAAGUGAUACUGUUGCAAUCAGCCCAGUGUGUGAUAAAGAUUUAUUACAGGGAGAAAGCAAAUAAAGGUAUGGUAGGAACUUCUUUAUUACCCGUAUCGUGAUCGCUUAUGUGAUCAGUGACCUGGAAUACAUUCAAAUUCAUGUUAAAUAAAAGCCUAAUAGAAUUUUUUUUUUUCCCCUGCAUUCUGGUGACAUGUGGUCAGCAGGAAGAGCAGCCAAUCGCUGUGUUUACCCACUUCCUGCUUUUCUGGAAAGUCAACAGUUUUUAAAGGCUUAGGCUGGCGUGGAAUUAAGAAACUUGCGCCGGUUUAACUAAGGUCGUUGGCGGACAAACGGGACGCAGGGGUGGCUUUGUGGAAGGGUUUUCCGUGCCAAGUUUGGCCUGUCCUGGGUUGUCUGCUGGGAGGAGGAGGAAGAAAAGGAGGAGAAGGAGGCCGGAGCCAGGGAUAGGUGUAGAGGUUGGUCCUGGUCGUGGCACCUUGGGGAGGCACCAAGUGGCUGGGGUCUUAUCAGCCCAACCUUGGAGAGCUUUCUUCUUCCAGUGGCUCAUCCAUCACUAGUUAACAGGGUACCCCUGUAAGGCUGCCUCUCUUUGUGCUGUAUCUUUAACCUCCCGCCAGUCAAUACCCUUUGUACACAUGUAUCUCGUUUCCUGAUAAUGCAUUGUAUUCCUUCGACCACCAAAAGCACUGGUGGGGUGGGAGAAACAGUUGUCUUAGAUAAAGAGCAAUUAGCACCUCCAGGGUCAGCCUGGAAUAUAUUGUUAAAGAAAAUGGGCCUGGAGGGAGGCUGGUGGAAUUCCUCCUGGCUGGAGAGAAUCAAAAAGGCUCCAGGUAAUUCCAAAGGAGCCUUUCUGGUGGGUGGUUGAUGUGGCCGUGCACCUCUAGCACCACACAAACCAGUUUCCUCAGGUCUCUGGGAAGAGCCAUGCAUCUUCAUUUAUAUGUUAAUUUGCAUUAAAUAAAUGUCACCAUAAACAAAUUGUAUCUCAGGAGAAGGUGGAAAACAUAUGGGUGUUUGCCAGCCAGGGGUUAUUAAUUUUAUACUUUCCAUCUGGAGUCUAUAAAGGGUCCAUUCGGAGAGCCAAUAAAGACCCAAGGUCGCGGCUGCAGCGCCACGGAAACCUUGCAGCUGGAGCACCUGCAGGCAUCUGCUGUUGUGGUGAAGGUGGCAGGGAGGGCCACAGCAAGAUGGGGACACUCCAUCGGUCCGGGAUAUCUCAGCAUGUAAAUGUCUAUGAAAAUCUGUUACUAGGAGGGCUUGUGCUCCUAAGUCAUUUGGGCAAGAUGGAGAAGUCAGCCCUGAACUCAAAGCAGAGCUCUGAUGUUUUGAUUGAUUUAUUUAUUCAUAUAUAUUUCUUUUUGCAGAAAGCUUCUUUACUUGUUGCUAGAUUAAGGGAAAGCUAAUUUAGUGCUAAUUUAGUGCUGCUGUGAAGAACAUUUUGGGGGAAAAGUUGCUGCGAAUUCAACACAAGUUGCCCCUGCUGUUCCUGUCUGGCCUUCCCAGAGCCUGUAAAAUGGGAAAAGGAUUUAAAUACCGGUUUUCCUUUUGUAAUUGGAAUAAAGUGGGUCUGAAAGUGAAUGGGACAACAGGGUGCAAAGUCCCUGCUCCCCAGCACUCAGGUUCUGGAUGGA